RNAcentral lists this long non-coding RNA (486 nucleotides) under Panicum hallii. Its description in RNAcentral is "long non-coding RNA (PHAL_LNC000590)". The record is from RNAcentral. Lineage: Eukaryota; Viridiplantae; Streptophyta; Magnoliopsida; Poales; Poaceae.
GGAAAGCUAAAUAUUAUAGUUCAGUUACACGUUCAUAGCAAGGUCUAAAAGGUAAUAGGGAAGUUACUGCACUACUUUAAGUACAGGGCAACUGAGUCCCAGCACACAAGGGAAACCUACUUUUGCUGUUAUGCAUAAUACAGAACUAAUUUGACCAACUGCAAGCAAGGAGCUUACAUUGUCUAUAUUGGAGUAACUUUCUGCAGGCCCAUUUACUUCUGCAACACUAUCAGCCGAAGGUGAUGAAGCAUCAUCUCCAGACACUACAUUGUCUAUAUUGGAGUCACUUUCUGCAGGCCCAUUUACUUCUGCAACACUAUCAACCGAAGGUGAUGAAGCAUCAUCUCCAAACACUUCUUUCUCCUGGAAAGAAAGGCCAAAAAUAUUAAUCCCUGAAUUACUGCAAGAUUCUGGCUUCAUCAGUAACUCUAGAUUUUAUCAAGAGGAGCUUCUUUGCUCUUAGUGAAACUAAACGGGAGGUUGAAA